CGCAAGGACUACUGUAAGUCGCUCUGGAUAAGAGCGUCUGCUAAAUUACUAAAA
This is a non-coding RNA of Salmo salar (Atlantic salmon), 54 nucleotides long. The record is from Rfam. NCBI's taxonomy places the organism in Eukaryota, Metazoa, Chordata, Actinopteri, Salmoniformes, Salmonidae.